Molecule: non-coding RNA, 22 nt
Filed under: Mus musculus (house mouse)
Lineage: Eukaryota; Metazoa; Chordata; Mammalia; Rodentia; Muridae
Source: RNAcentral
UAACAUGUUUAGGGUAGUGGGU